Salvia splendens (bonfire salvia) is the source of this 745-nucleotide long non-coding RNA. RefSeq lists it as uncharacterized. Lineage: Eukaryota; Viridiplantae; Streptophyta; Magnoliopsida; Lamiales; Lamiaceae. The record is from RefSeq and is a predicted model, not a curated record. The transcript is spliced from 3 exons.
UCAGCUCGAGUUAGGGUAAAAAAGGAAGUAUGGACCUUGAGUAAUAUUGUGGCGUCCCCUCCCUCUCCCACGGCAACGGCUGUCGCCGACGCAUGUCUGAAUCCGAUCUCUGUCGAGACAUUUACGAAACACAAUUUUUAGAGGUACUUUGUUACUGCAACUGCGAUACGGCAUAAUUCUUGCGAUGGAGCAGGGAAGCAGCUGUUUCUUUUCCAAUGUGGGAUGCCUAAACUUUGCGAUUUUGCUGAUAAUUGCUGCUUCUACCUUGCUUUUGUUCCGGAUUCUGUAUGUUAUAUACCGAAGCACCAAACAAUUACACAAUAGACCUCCAGGACCUCUGAGUACAUUGAUAGUUCUAGGUUCAGGUGGUCACACAGCGGAGAUGCUAAACCUGUUAGCUGUUAUGCAGAUGGAUAGAUUUAAACCUAGAUACUAUAUCGCUGCUGCCACUGAUAACAUGAGCCUUCAGAAAGCUCGUGUCAUGGAGGACACCUUGAAGAGCAAGGUAAAAUACCUUUAGCUACUCCACGUGUAUGAUAUUCUACCUUUUAUAUAUGGUUACGCGGUUCUUUGUAUGUUCAGUUUACAUGUAAAUGGAACAUCAGGCAGAUUGUGAGAUUGGAAUUAUUCUUAUUUUUUUUCAUACAUAACAUGUGGGAUAGAAAUGUGGACGUACUUUGUACUUGACUUUGGGAUAGACUGCUGUAAUGUUGUGAGAUACAUGAGAUAAAUAUGGAUGUGUAAA